RNAcentral lists this ribosomal RNA (403 nucleotides) under uncultured bacterium. RNAcentral describes it as "bacterial SSU rRNA". It matches the Rfam family "Bacterial small subunit ribosomal RNA", at positions 355 to 775 of the family's 1533-position model. The record is from RNAcentral.
UGGGGAAUAUUGCACAAUGGGCGAAAGCCUGAUGCAGCAACGCCGCGUGAGUGAUGACGGUCUUCGGAUUGUAAAGCUCUGUCUUUGGGGACGAUAAUGACGAUACCCAAGGAGGAAGCCACGGCUAACUACGUGCCGGCGGCCGCGGUAAUACGUAGGUGGCAAGCGUUGUCCGGAUUUACUGGGCGUAAAGGGUGCGUAGGCGGACCUUUAAGUGAGAUGUGAAAUCCCCGAGCUUAACUUGGGGGCUGCAUUUCAAACUGGAGGUCUAGAGUGCAGGAGAGGAGAGUGGAAUUCCUAGUGUAGCGGUGAAAUGCGUAGAGAUUAGGCAGAACACCAGUGGCGAAGGCGACUCUCUGGACUGUAACUGACGCUGAGGCACGAAAGCGUGGGGAGCAAACAG